RNAcentral lists this ribosomal RNA (888 nucleotides) under Russula cf. brevipes VH-2016. RNAcentral's name for it is "eukaryotic LSU rRNA". It matches the Rfam family "Eukaryotic large subunit ribosomal RNA", at positions 74 to 931 of the family's 3401-position model. The record is from RNAcentral. Lineage: Eukaryota; Fungi; Basidiomycota; Agaricomycetes; Russulales; Russulaceae.
AUUCCCCUAGUAACUGCGAGUGAAGCGGGAAAAGCUCAAAUUUAAAAUCUGGUGGUCUUUUGCCCAUCCGAGUUGUAAUUUAGAGAAGCGUCUUCCGCGCUGGACCGUACACAAGUCUCCUGGAACGGAGCGUCAUAGAGGGUGAGAAUCCCGUCUUUGGUAUGGAUCCCCAGGGCUUCUGUGAUGCGCUCUCGAAGAGUCGAGUUGUUUGGGAAUGCAGCUCAAAAUGGGUGGUGAACUCCAUCUAAAGCUAAAUAUUGGCGAGAGACCGAUAGCGAACAAGUACCGUGAGGGAAAGAUGAAAAGCACUUUGGAAAGAGAGUGAAACAGUACGUGAAAUUGUUGAAAGGGAAACGCUUAAAGUCAGUCGCGUCUCCCGAGACUCAGCCUCGCUCCGGCUUGGUGUAUUUCUCGGUCGACGGGUCAGCAUCAAUUUUGUCCCUCGGAUAAUGGCAACGGAAAGGUGGCACCUUUGCGGGUGUGUUAUAGUCUUUUGUCGCAUGCGAGGGGUGAGAUUGAGGAACUCAGCACGCAUGCCCCUCUGGGGUGUGUCGGGGCUUCGGCCCACGCCACGUGCUUAGGAUGUUGGCGUAAUGGCUUUAAACGACCCGUCUUGAAACACGGACCAAGGAGUCUAACAUGCCCGCGAGUGUUCGGGUGGAAAACCCGUGCGCGUAAUGAAAGUGAAAGUUGGGACCUUCGUCGUGAAGGGCACCGACGCCCGGACCAGACCUUCUGUGACGGAUCUGCGGUGGAGCGUGCAUGUUGGGACCCGAAAGAUGGUGAACUAUGCCUGAAUAGGGUGAAGCCAGAGGAAACUCUGGUGGAGGCUCGUAGCGAUUCUGACGUGCAAAUCGAUCGUCAAAUUUGGGUAUAGGGGCGAAAGAC